This 1034-nucleotide long non-coding RNA is filed under the name Panax ginseng (ginseng). RNAcentral's name for it is "long non-coding RNA (PGIN_LNC018825)". The record is from RNAcentral. Lineage: Eukaryota; Viridiplantae; Streptophyta; Magnoliopsida; Apiales; Araliaceae.
UUAAAUGUUAGUAAUGAUUUGGAAUUUGAAUGGGAAGGGUCCGGUUCCGGGUCCGUGUAUUUAUUAAAUAGGGCUUUUCUGAUUUGGGCCUCCGUUCUCUUCUCCUUUCAUUUUGUGAACAACAACUGGGUACACUUCAAUUAUCUCUCACUAUGGACUUUUAGUAAAUUAUCUUGGGCCAUUCAUAGUUUUCUACUAAACAUUCUGUUUAACAAAAAACUAGGGGGCAAUGUUGGGUCGUGAUAUUUCCUAUCUUUUGGUCGGGUACAUUGGGCCUUUAUUUUUAAUCCGUUAAAGUCAUCGGGCCCAGUCCUCAUACUAUAUCCAUUUUAAUCUUUAAGACCGGAUCGGUCCAGUAGGUCGACCCGUUAAAUAUUUUAAAAUCUGUUAUUUUGACUUGUGAUGAUGAAAAAGCAUGACGGUUGACCAAAGUUCCUGCCAUGCAUUAAUGUGAAUGGGAUCAUAGCCGGCCGGCGGUAGAAAACAGUGGCCAAAAGCAGUGGAUAAACUAUAUACAGUCGGCAGAGCCCAUCAGAUCAGAGGGAUGUGUCAGAUAGUAGUGGGUGGCACAGUAAUUCAGGCGGAGAUAGUAUAACCUAGCAAGGAAGCCUUCAUGAAGAGGUACGUUCUCAUACAUUUUAAGAUUUCAUUUUUAUCUCACAUACACAAAAGGAAAAAUUAUUAUCUCUCUCUAGACCCUAGACAGUACAUUCCUCCACUGUUAACCUUGUGAACACAUACUAAUUCUCACGCCUGAGCUAUCCCCCGACGGAACCGCCGUCAAGCUUGUGGUGUUUACUGUGCAGGAUCAGGACGUCUUUAGUGAUUGGGACGUGGAGAAAGAUCCUGGCGUUAACACCCAUCAACCCCGAAUAAAUGGUAUGAUUAUCCAGAUCGGACGGUUUUUAAUAAUCCUACUAGAUCAAUGGGUGGACUAAUGAGAAGGAAUAGUAUCUCAUACCCUGAACUUCAUCUACGUGAACUUUCAUCACCAUGGGUCACCGGAGAUGAUCAGUGGCGAUUUUAUAACGAUA